UAGAGGAAGUAAAAGUCGUAACAAGGUUUCCGUAGGUGAACCUGCGGAAGGAUCAUUAUUGAAAUAAACCUGAUGAGUUGCUGCUGGUUCUCCAGGGAGCAUGUGCACACUUGUCAUCUUUAUAUCUCCACCUGUGCACCUUUUGUAGACCUGGAUAUCUCUCUGAAUGCUUAGUCGUUCAGGAUUGAGGAUUGAUAUYAUGUCUCUCCUUACAUUUCCAGGCCUAUGUUUCUUCAUAUACCCCAAUGUAUGUCAUAGAAUGUAAUUAAUGGCCUUUGUGCCUAUAAACCUAUACAACUUUCAGCAACGGAUCUCUUGGCUCUCGCAUCGAUGAAGAACGCAGCGAAAUGCGAUAAGUAAUGUGAAUUGCAGAAUUCAGUGAAUCAUCGAAUCUUUGAACGCACCUUGCGCUCCUUGGUAUUCCGAGGAGCAUGCCUGUUUGAGUGUCAUUAAUAUAUCAACCUCUUCAGCUUUUGCUUGUUGAGYGUUGGAUGUGGGGGUCUUUUUUUGCUGGUCUUUCCAAGGUCAGCUCCCCUGAAAUGCAUUAGCGGAACAAUUUGUGGACCGUUCAUUGGUGUGAUAACUAUCUACGCUAUUGACGUGAAGCAGUUCAGCUUAUAACAGUCCAUUCACUUGGACAAAUUUUCAUUAAUGUGACCUCAAAUCAGGUAGGACUACCCGCUGAACUUAAGCAUAUC
Molecule: ribosomal RNA, 698 nt
Filed under: Phlegmacium brunneolividum
Lineage: Eukaryota; Fungi; Basidiomycota; Agaricomycetes; Agaricales; Cortinariaceae
Description: eukaryotic LSU rRNA
Rfam family: 5.8S ribosomal RNA (bases 296-449)
Source: RNAcentral